RNAcentral lists this long non-coding RNA (493 nucleotides) under Hordeum vulgare. RNAcentral describes it as "long non-coding RNA (HVUL_LNC009658)". The record is from RNAcentral. Lineage: Eukaryota; Viridiplantae; Streptophyta; Magnoliopsida; Poales; Poaceae.
UUGCCUUUUGUCUCUGGCACGUUCUUCACAAUGAAUAGAAUAGCCAGGGCUUUCCUUUUGUCUCUGUGUAUUUGGCUGCAAUCGAUAAGUUUGAUGCCAUGUGAUCCAAAAGCAACACUUAUGCUCUAGAAGGUUAGACGCUGCUCUGUUUUUUAGCCAGAAUUUUCCUACCAAGUUUUAUCAUGAAUACUUCAUUUCCUACAUCUGGUCCUUGAUGUUCGUUAUGUAUGGUUACCAGUGAGUAAAGUUUGACAGGUGUUAUCACCGAGAGACAGGUGUUAUCACCGAGAGAGGGUAAGUUGGCAUGGGAAGAAGAAGAACAUGAAGAAUAUGAAGAAGAAGAAGAAUAUGAAGAAUGUGAAGAAGAAGAAGAAGAAGAAGAAUAAGAAGAAUAUGAAGAAGAAUAAGAAGGAGAAGAAUUUUGUCUUUAUAUCUUGUAAUGACCUUGUACAUCUUGUAAUGACCAUUAAUGAAGAUAUUAUUUCUCUCAACU